GAACGCACAUUGCGCCCUUUGGUAUUCCGAAGGGCAUGCCUGUUCGAGCGUCAUUUCACCACUCAAGCCUGGCUUGGUAUUGGGCGCCGCGGUUUGUCCGCGCGCCUCAAAGUCUCCGGCUGAGCUGUCCGUCUCUAAGCGUUGUGAUCCAUAUUCGCUUCGGAGUGCGGGCGGCCGCGGCCGUUAAAUCUUUCACAAGGUUGACCUCGGAUCAGGUAGGGAUACCCGCUGAACUUAAG
RNAcentral lists this unclassified non-coding RNA (239 nucleotides) under uncultured Septoria. RNAcentral's name for it is "sequence contains 5.8S rRNA gene". The stretch from base 1 to 53 matches the Rfam family "5.8S ribosomal RNA", at positions 102 to 154 of the family's 154-position model. Lineage: Eukaryota; Fungi; Ascomycota; Dothideomycetes; Mycosphaerellales; Mycosphaerellaceae. The record is from RNAcentral.